UGCAGCGACGCCGCGUGAGGGAUGACGGCCUUCGGGUUGUAAACCUCUUUCAGCAGGGACGAAGCGCAAGUGACGGUACCUGUAGAAGAAGGACCGGCCAACUACGUGCCAGCAGCCGCGGUAAUACGUAGGGUCCGAGCGUUGUCCGGAAUUACUGGGCGUAAAGAGCUCGUAGGUGGUUUGUCGCGUUGUUCGUGAAAACUCACAGCUUAACUGUGGGCGUGCGGGCGAUACGGGCAGACUUGAGUACUGCAGGGGAGACUGGAAUUCCUGGUGUAGCGGUGGAAUGCGCAGAUAUCAGGAGGAACACCGGUGGCGAAGGCGGGUCUCUGGGCAGUAACUGACGCUGAGGAGCGAAAGCGUGGGGAGCGAACAGGAUUAGAUACCCUGGUAGUCCACGCCGUAAACGGUGGGUACUAGGUGUGGGUUUCCUUCCUUGGGAUCCGUGCCGUAGCUAACGCAUUAAGUACCCCGCCUGGGGAGUACGGCCGCAAGGCUAAAACUCAAAGAAAUUGACGGGGGCCCGCACAAGCGGCGGAGCAUGUGGAUUAAUUCGAUGCAACGCGAAGAACCUUACCUGGGUUUGACAUGCACAGGACGUGCCUAGAGAUAGGUAUUCCCUUGUGG
RNAcentral lists this ribosomal RNA (627 nucleotides) under Mycobacterium sp. So2Pt_132. RNAcentral describes it as "bacterial SSU rRNA". It matches the Rfam family "Bacterial small subunit ribosomal RNA", at positions 387 to 1024 of the family's 1533-position model. The record is from RNAcentral. Lineage: Bacteria; Bacillati; Actinomycetota; Actinomycetes; Mycobacteriales; Mycobacteriaceae.